This 1441-nucleotide unclassified non-coding RNA is filed under the name Hevea brasiliensis (rubber tree). Lineage: Eukaryota; Viridiplantae; Streptophyta; Magnoliopsida; Malpighiales; Euphorbiaceae. The record is from RNAcentral.
CUUUUACUCUUUUAAAAUGAACAUAAUAAUAUUAUAAUUUUAGGUGCAAAAAUUGAAAUUUGAAUUGAAAUUGAAACAAAAAAAUUGAAAUCAAAAUGGAACUGAAACUAGAAAUGGAACUAUACUGAAAUUACUUAGAACUGAAUCAGAACCAAAACGAAGGUUACAUCCAAUUUACGUUCCUAAAAAUCAAAGAACUAGAGAUUUAGUUUCCAUUUUGAUGCCUAGGUAGAUUUGAACUCAAAAUCAGAAUUGAAAACCUCUACUAUUAGUAACAAUGCAGAGAUUGCUACAAUGUAAAAAAGAGAAAAGACAAUUACAAGAGAUCUUGGAGUUUGGUAAAAAUUAUAUGUCAGUCUUUUUUCUAUAUAAUCGGCUUUGACACUUGAGACCUCAUAGUUUUGAAGAUGACUCCAAUACCACUAUGUUAAAGCUCAUUUAUAAUUAUAUGUCAAUCUUUGUUGUUUGAAAAUAUAAAAAUUUUUUGUUUAAAAUUUAAUUUUGCCAGUCUUUGGUUGAUGGCUACUAGUAGACUUCUCUCCGAUCAAGAAAGGUAUUGCAUACAUCUUAGUCUUUUUGCUGCAUGUGAUUUAUGUAUGGCUCCAAUUGAGUCUUUGGAGCAUAUUUUUAGAGAUUGCCCUAUUUGUAGUAAAUUUCUAAGUGGUUCUACGUUGAUGAGGGAUUGGUUCUUCGAGAACAUUAGUUGUGUUUUAGCUUUGGCUUGGGAUGUCCCUUGGAAUGCUUAUUUUGGAACUAUUUGUUGGUGGGUGCAGAAGCGCUAGAAUAAGAGAAUUUCUCUAAUGAGACUAUGCUAGCAGAUAAUUUUAUUUCUUUUGUGUUGAGCCAAGGUCGAAGAGAUGAGGAAGGUGGUUGGGCAAAAUAGUAUGUUGUAAGCAUGUAGAAAGGUUGAUAGGUGGGAAACCUCCUAAGUUGGGUUAGGAAAUUCUUAAUGUUGAUGGGUCGGUUAAAGGAAAUGCUAGAUUGGCUUGUGGAGGUGGUUAACCAUAGUGGGAAUUAGUGGGAUGGCUUUAUAUGUCACAAAGGAACUUGUUUAGCUCUACAUGCUGAGCUUUGGGUGAUUCUAGAAGGGCUUUAGUUGGCUUAUAGGAGAGCAUGUAGGAAGCUGGUGGUUGAAUGUGACAAUUUAGAAGCUGUUGCCAUUGUUAGAGGUACCUCUACCCUUUUGCUCACUCUCUUUCAUUAAUUAAUAGGAUUUUGGGCUUGGUUAGGGAAGACUGGGAAGUAGUCUUUGAGCAUGUGUAUAGGGAAGCUAAGAAAUAUGCGGAUUGGCUUGCGAAUUGGGCAGCAUCCAUGGAUUUGAGUGUGAAUUAUUUGUGUUAGCCUCUAGAGGGUGUUAUGCAAUGAAUUCUCCAUGAUAAAGCAAAUGUGUCUACCCUUAGAGUAAUUCCUUGUGUGCUGGUUAGGGCUAUAUGCUCUCUCU